This is a non-coding RNA of Candidatus Melainabacteria bacterium, 173 nucleotides long. Lineage: Bacteria; Bacillati; Candidatus Melainabacteria. The record is from Rfam.
UUAAUGCUCCUCGUAGAUCGCUAGUUUUGAUCCUACAAUUUUAAAAGAGGGGGCUCUAUCUCUAAGGAUAAUAACGUAGACCUAACGUGUAUUAGGAAACGAAGUUUAUCCGGGGGGGCACCCACCUGUGUGAGGAACACGGGUUCAAAACUCCGGUCUCUUGGGGCAUUUUC